GCGGAGGAAACAUGUGGUUUAAUUCGAUGAUACGCGAGGAACCUUACCCGGGCUUGAAUUGCAGAGGAAGGAUUUGGAGACAAUGAACGCCCUUCGGGGCCUCUGUGAAGGUGCUGCAUGGUUGUCGUCAGCUCGUGCCGUGAGGUGUCGGCUUAAGUGCCAUAACGAGCGCAACCCCUCUCCUUAGUUGCCAUCAGGUCAAGCUGGGCACUCUGGGGACACUGCCACCGUAAGGUGUGA
RNAcentral lists this ribosomal RNA (240 nucleotides) under uncultured bacterium. Its description in RNAcentral is "partial 16S ribosomal RNA". It matches the Rfam family "Bacterial small subunit ribosomal RNA", at positions 931 to 1167 of the family's 1533-position model. The record is from RNAcentral.